AUACGUAGGGUGCGAGCGUUGUCCGGAAUUACUGGGCGUAAAGAGCUCGUAGGUGGUUUGUCGCGUCGUCUGUGAAAUUCCGGGGCUUAACUCCGGGCGUGCAGGCGAUACGGGCAUAACUUGAGUACUGUAGGGGAGACUGGAAUUCCUGGUGUAGCGGUGAAAUGCGCAGAUAUCAGGAGGAACACCGGUGGCGAAGGCGGGUCUCUGGGCAGUAACUGACGCUGAGGAGCGAAAGCAUUGGUAGCGAACAGGAUUAGAUACCCUGGUAGUCCAUGCCGUAAACGGUGGGCGCUAGGUGUAGGGGUCUUCCACGACUUCUGUGCCGUAGCUAACGCAUUAAGCGCCCCGCCUGGGGAGUACGGCCGCAAGGCUAAAACUCAAAUGAAUUGACGGGG
This 398-nucleotide ribosomal RNA is filed under the name uncultured bacterium. RNAcentral's name for it is "partial 16S ribosomal RNA". It matches the Rfam family "Bacterial small subunit ribosomal RNA", at positions 523 to 918 of the family's 1533-position model. The record is from RNAcentral.